RNAcentral lists this ribosomal RNA (164 nucleotides) under uncultured bacterium. RNAcentral's name for it is "partial 16S rRNA". It matches the Rfam family "Bacterial small subunit ribosomal RNA", at positions 355 to 511 of the family's 1533-position model. The record is from RNAcentral.
UAGGGAAUCUUCGGCAAUGGACGAGAGUUUGACCGAGCAACGCCGCGUGAGUGAAGAAGGUUUUCGGAUCGUAAACUCUGUUGGUGGAGAAGAACGUUGGUGAGAGUGGAAAGCUCAUCAAGUGACGGUAACUACCCAGAAAGGGACGGCUAACUACGUGCCAC